UACGUAGGGUGCAAGCGUUAUCCGGAAUUAUUGGGCGUAAAGAGCUCGUAGGCGGUUUGUUGCGUCGGCUGUGAAAUCCCGAGGCUCAACCUCGGGUCUGCAGUCGAUACGAGCAAACUAGAGUGUUGCAGGGGAGACUGGAAUUCCUGGUGUAGCGGUGAAAUGCGCAGAUAUCAGGAGGAACACCGGUGGCGAAGGCGGGUCUCUGGGCAACAACUGACGCUGAGGAGCGAAAGCGUGGGGAGCGAACAGGAUUAGAAACCC
This 264-nucleotide ribosomal RNA is filed under the name uncultured bacterium. RNAcentral's name for it is "partial 16S ribosomal RNA". It matches the Rfam family "Bacterial small subunit ribosomal RNA", at positions 524 to 787 of the family's 1533-position model. The record is from RNAcentral.